UUGGGAUUUGAGAAUGGGUUCGGGCUUAGGUUAUAGGUUUUGGUUUUGGUUUAGGUUAUAGGUUUUGAUUUAGGUUAUAGCUUAUAGGUUUAGGUUAAGGUUUAGGUUUAGGUUAUAGGUUUUGGGAUUUGAGAAUGGGUUUGGGUUUAGGUUAUAGGUUUUGGUUUUGGUUUUGGUUUUGGUUUUGGUUAUAGGUUUUGAUUUAGGUUAUAGGUUAUAGGUUUAAGUUAAGGUUUAGGUUUAGGUUAAAGGUUCGGGUUUAGGUUAUAGGUUUUGGUUUUGGUUUU
Molecule: long non-coding RNA, 287 nt
Organism: Magnolia sinica
Lineage: Eukaryota; Viridiplantae; Streptophyta; Magnoliopsida; Magnoliales; Magnoliaceae
Exons: 3
Source: RefSeq, a predicted model, not a curated record